Molecule: long non-coding RNA, 992 nt
Organism: Magnolia sinica
Lineage: Eukaryota; Viridiplantae; Streptophyta; Magnoliopsida; Magnoliales; Magnoliaceae
Exons: 4
Source: RefSeq, a predicted model, not a curated record
CUCUCUCUCUCUCUCUCAUUUCCCUUUCCCUUUUGCAGAUAAUCACAAAAUCCCUAAAUCUAGCUUUCUUAGCUGCAUCCGAAGCUGAUCCGAUCGAUACUUUAUUCAUCUCAGUAAUCACAGAAGGAAAUCAAGAAACUGAUCUCUCUAAAAGCAGUCCAAAACCCUCGUUUUCAUCUCUGUCGGACGCGUUUGACCCCACCGAUGCAUUAGAAUCCUUCCCUACACCAUCGAUUACUGAUGGGAAUCAAGGAUCUGGCGUGCAUCUAUACACACGUCCACCUGAUGCAUGGCCUAGAUUUCCACAUCGUGAAGUUGCCAUGCGUGUCCACAUAUAGAGAUGCAUGUGGAAAAGUGCGCGUGGGCUUAGCGGAACUCCUGUAUGGUGUAUUUGUUUAUAUAUUAGUCUUUAUUUUACAGGUUAUCUUUAGAUCUGUAUACUAUUGAUGAUUCUCUCCCAUUUAUUCUCAACAUUCUCUUAGCAAAUUUCUUUAGCCUUGUCGGCAUUGCAAUAGUUUUGUCAUAUGCUCAGGUAAAACUAGAAGGCUUUUUGUUGUAUCAAUCCAGAUAUCUGAUUAGACUGUUUUAGUUCUGUAUGAUCAUAUUUCUUAACACUACGUAGAUAAAGUAUGUUGUUCAGACAUUUAAUUGAUAUGUGCAAAUUCUGUUCUUGCUUCUGUUAUUACCGUUUUGGUAUAUCUACAAAAAAUUGCAGGUCUGCAAAGUGGCCCCCAUGGAAAUCCUCUCCCACAUGCACUUUACAAGCAAAAUAUGUGCCAAUAUAGCAUGUGUAAAGGAUAUCUGAUAGGAGCAUAGGAUGGGCUGCACGGUGCAGAUGAUGGAAAGAAGCAGUGUCAUUACCGAAUGGUUUAUAUGCCCAUGUCGUGCUUGUAUGGGAAGAGGUUUGUUGGUCCAAUCACACCAUUAAUUUUGUUAUUGAGAAAGGAGCUCUACAUGACCCCGUAUCAACAAGUAGAUUGGAAUCAAGUCCG